GGGGAAUAGUAUAGAUUAGUAUGUGCGAUUUCGGCUCGUGCGGUGAGUGAUCGGGCUCUUCCC
Molecule: transfer RNA, 63 nt
Filed under: Teredothyra matocotana
Lineage: Eukaryota; Metazoa; Mollusca; Bivalvia; Myida; Teredinidae
Description: tRNA-Arg
Source: RNAcentral